RNAcentral lists this ribosomal RNA (323 nucleotides) under uncultured eukaryote. RNAcentral describes it as "partial 18S ribosomal RNA". It matches the Rfam family "Eukaryotic small subunit ribosomal RNA", at positions 1470 to 1796 of the family's 1831-position model. The record is from RNAcentral.
CCCUUAGAUGUUCUGGGCCGCACGCGCGCUACACUGAUGCAUGCAACGAGUGUACCUUGGCCGAGAGGCCUGGGAAAUCUGUGAACGUGCAUCGUGAUAGGGAUAGAUUAUUGCAAUUAUUAAUCUUGAACGAGGAAUUCCUAGUAAACGCAAAUCAUCAGUUUGCAUUGAUUACGUCCCUGCCCUUUGUACACACCGCCCGUCGCACCUACCGAUUGAAUGGUCCGGUGAAGCCUCGGGAUUGUGAUGAGUCUCCUUUAUUGGGGGUUCGUCGUGAGAACUUGUCUAAACCUUAUCAUUUAGAGGAAGGUGAAGUCGUAACA